Molecule: long non-coding RNA, 631 nt
Organism: Rhododendron vialii
Lineage: Eukaryota; Viridiplantae; Streptophyta; Magnoliopsida; Ericales; Ericaceae
Exons: 3
Source: RefSeq, a predicted model, not a curated record
UAUAAGUAGCACUCAAACAUUGAGGAAGAAUGAACAGAGCUUCAGAGAACUCAGACAUAAAGAAAUUGGCGGGAGGAUACUGAAUUUGUAUCAGAAUGGGAUAUACAAACAGCAUUGGGAAGUACCAACUGAUUCGAAUGAUCGGAGAAGACAUGUUCGCGAAGGUCAAGCUGGCCGUAAACACAGACAAUGGUCAGUAAGUUGCAAUCAAGAUCAUCGAUAAGCAAAUGGUCGUAAAAAGAAAUAUCAUGUACCAGGUGAAGAGAGAAAUAAGAACAAUGAAGCUUCUGAAUCAUCCAAACAUUGUCAAAAUACACGAGGUAAUCGGCACAAAGACAAAAAUUUACAUGGUAAUGGACUAAGUAUCAGGAGGGCAGCUAUCUGAUAAGAUGGUGAGAUUCAACUAGUUGACUAUUGGAAGCCAAAACUGGUGUUUGGGAGAUCUUACAAACAAUUAUAAUCACCUGGGAAAAAAAAUUCACAGUUAUAUAUGUUAAAAGGGUUUGAUGAAAGAGGGGCAAGUAAACACUUUCAGCUGUUACUCGAUGCUGUAGACUAUUGUCUUUACAGAGGGGUUUACCAAGAUCUAAAGGUCAGAAUGAAACUAUCCUGCUCAAGUCUUCUUUUCACA